AGUGAACGCUGGCGGUAGGCCUAACACAUGCAAGUCGAACGGCAGCACAGUAAGAGCUUGCUCUUACGGGUGGCGAGUGGCGGACGGGUGAGGAAUACAUCGGAAUCUACUUUUUCGUGGGGGAUAACGUAGGGAAACUUACGCUAAUACCGCAUACGACCUACGGGUGAAAGCAGGGGAUCUUCGGACCUUGCGCGAAUGAAUGAGCCGAUGUCGGAUUAGCUAGUUGGCGGGGUAAAGGCCCACCAAGGCGACGAUCCGUAGCUGGUCUGAGAGGAUGAUCCGCCACACUGGAACUGGGACACCGUCCAGACUCCUACGGGAGGCAGCAGUGGGGAAUAUUGGACAAUGGGCGCAAGCCUGAUCCAGCCAUACCGCGUGGGUGCAGAAGGCCUUCGGGUUGUAAAGCCCUUUUGUUGGGAAAGAAAAGCAGCAGGUUAAUACCCCGCUGUUCUGACGGUACCCAAAGAAUAAGCACCGGCUAACUUCGUG
RNAcentral lists this ribosomal RNA (492 nucleotides) under uncultured bacterium. RNAcentral's name for it is "partial 16S ribosomal RNA". It matches the Rfam family "Bacterial small subunit ribosomal RNA", at positions 29 to 507 of the family's 1533-position model. The record is from RNAcentral.